Non-coding RNA from Archocentrus centrarchus (flier cichlid), 553 nucleotides. NCBI's taxonomy places the organism in Eukaryota, Metazoa, Chordata, Actinopteri, Cichliformes, Cichlidae. The record is from the annotation of a RefSeq genome assembly.
AGAGACGUGAAGAUCAAAGAGGAGGCACAGAGACUCAGGGAGGAGCCGAGCUGUUCCUGAACUACAGAAGAGACAAAAACUGAAAUAUUCAGCAGAGAUCAGCUUACAGAUCAGAAACAUUUCCUCCAACAUGCUGUCACUGGACUCUGCUACAGUUUCUCUACUGAUGCUCACUCUCCUAACAGGCGUCAGCUGUCAACAACUCACCCCAGACAAGAAAGAAGAGUCCAGUUUAGAAGGCAGCACUGUUACUCUGUCCUACACUUACAAAGUGUCAACUGGAGAUUAUUUCUACUGGUAUCGACAAUAUCCAGGAAAAGCACCAGAAGUCCUGAUCUCACACGGUGCUUCAGGAUCAGUAGGAGAAGAAAAAAUUGCUGGACUGAAGAUUCAAGUGGAGGGAAACCAAAUCAAGAUGAGCAUCAUCUCUGCUGCAGUGACAGACUCUGCUGUGUACUACUGUGCUGUGAAGCCCACAGUGACAGGAAACAGCAAAACUCUGUACAAAAACCUUUGGAGCGAAGACGACAGAAUACUCCACAACAUCCACUAG